This 606-nucleotide ribosomal RNA is filed under the name Klebsiella pneumoniae. Its description in RNAcentral is "bacterial SSU rRNA". It matches the Rfam family "Bacterial small subunit ribosomal RNA", at positions 927 to 1533 of the family's 1533-position model. Lineage: Bacteria; Pseudomonadati; Pseudomonadota; Gammaproteobacteria; Enterobacterales; Enterobacteriaceae. The record is from RNAcentral.
AAGCGGUGGAGCAUGUGGUUUAAUUCGAUGCAACGCGAAGAACCUUACCUGGUCUUGACAUCCACAGAACUUAGCAGAGAUGCUUUGGUGCCUUCGGGAACUGUGAGACAGGUGCUGCAUGGCUGUCGUCAGCUCGUGUUGUGAAAUGUUGGGUUAAGUCCCGCAACGAGCGCAACCCUUAUCCUUUGUUGCCAGCGGUCAGGCCGGGAACUCAAAGGAGACUGCCAGUGAUAAACUGGAGGAAGGUGGGGAUGACGUCAAGUCAUCAUGGCCCUUACGACCAGGGCUACACACGUGCUACAAUGGCAUAUACAAAGAGAAGCGACCUCGCGAGAGCAAGCGGACCUCAUAAAGUAUGUCGUAGUCCGGAUUGGAGUCUGCAACUCGACUCCAUGAAGUCGGAAUCGCUAGUAAUCGUAGAUCAGAAUGCUACGGUGAAUACGUUCCCGGGCCUUGUACACACCGCCCGUCACACCAUGGGAGUGGGUUGCAAAAGAAGUAGGUAGCUUAACCUUCGGGAGGGCGCUUACCACUUUGUGAUUCAUGACUGGGGUGAAGUCGUAACAAGGUAACCGUAGGGGAACCUGCGGUUGGAUCACCUCCUUA